GAACACAACAUCCCACUAUUGUACAAAAGGCAAUUAAAAGUGUAUAAUGAAAUUUUUUCCUUUCUGGCCCAAUUCAAUUGACUAUUAAACACGUGGAAUUUUGUAUUUAGAUCUAUAUUUGAACAUCAGAAUUUCAAAGGUCUAGAGACCAUUAGAAGGUUUCAGUGGAAACAACUUAAACUCUUCUCUUUCAAGAUCAAAAUUGAUCCUCCAUGUUGACAGGUGGAAGUGGAGUUGGCAACAGUGACAUGCAUAUUUGAUAUUACUUUGGCCUCAAUUUGACCUCCAUUUUACGGCUUUCGAUUUGGAGAAACGUUUGGAGGAGAUAAACCAUUUUGAUCUGUCCAGGUACAACUUUGGCACUCAAGUCAAGGUAAUACUUGCAUCCUACAUGAUCUAUGGUUGGAUUUGCCUCAUGAAUUAAACUUUAAUAAGCUGAUUUUGCAAAGGCUCUGUCUUAAAGAGUCAAGUGGUUGAACGCUCCUCUCUAGAUAAGAAGCAGAAUGCGCCAUCACCUAGAGCCCUUUCCUCGAGGUAAACAAUAGAGAGAGGAAGAAGACGUAGAAGGGUCAAGAGAAAUGAUUACAACGAGGGUGGGCUUAAUUCAUUUGAUAUGAUUAGAAUUUUUUGGUUGGCAUAAAAUCAACAUUGAUAUCGUUACUUCUAUUUACUCAACUGGAUUCUUAUCAAGUUAAAUGAGUGAUGAUAUGUAUAAUCCAGAACAUAAAACAUGUUUUCUUGCAAGCACCAAAUCAACACUCGCUGAAGUCAUGCACACAACUGUUAAAGUUAGUUUGUCAUGUUGUACAAUGUCAAUAAAUUGCACAAGAAACAUGUAUGUACCAGCUUUCUAGAGAAAGAAGUCGAGUUGAUCUAGAUAAGAAGCUUGAGAAACUUGGAAAACCUAUGUAGUAAUAUUUGCAAGGAAACACAAGAAAGAAAAUAUUAUUUGCCUUUUACUACUUGUGCAUAAUUUUUUUGAAGAUUUUUAGUUGCUCUUCCAAAACAUCCAUAUGUAUUAUUUACACUCGGGUGAAUUAUACCAUCGAAUAAGCUUAUGCAAUAUUAAGUGUAUUUUUCAUGAGAUAUUUUUUCUCUUUUCUAAUUACUUUGGUACUAUGAAUAGCAUAAGGAAGUUGUAUCACAAGCAACUUAAAUUGUACUACUCUAAGCCAAGAAGAGUUAGACCAACUCUGCAAUUAGAACUUGUACAAAAAGCAAUAUAUAUUGUACAGUAAAUUUAACUCAGCAUGUAUCCUUUCAUAAUAAAGUGUAUGAAUGAAUAGGACAGUUGGUCUUACCAACCUGUGAUAUUUGUUGUUUCUCUAAAUUAUUAUUUUUUUGUGCGUGUGUGUGCGUGCGUGCGUGCGUGCGCGCGCGCGUUUGUGUGUGUGUGUUCCUUUUCAUUAAUCUUUGUCCCAAACUUGAAGAAAAUUUGUUCUGUUCUACAAAAUGAAAGGGCUCCAUCAGAAAUUUCCACUGGAACUUUAGUUACCUCAGGUAUGCAUUUCCGCUUUCCUUCUUUCUUUCCUUCUCAUUUUAGUUUUUAAUUUGAUUUAUUCCACCUUUAUUCUUUCGAUCACUAAUGUUUAAUACGGUUUUGGUUCACCUUUUGUCAAUUUUUCAUUUGAUGAGUUUGAUUUCUAUUUAUUUUUCAAUUUUGGUGUUUGGGUUGUGGUAAUGUUGCAUGCACUGGAUUUAAUCUUGAUUGGAUGCUAUUAUUUUUUACGUUCUCUCCUCCAUUUCUAUUUAUAACUUUGUAUUUCAAUUUAUUUUAUUUUCUUUGUUAUUGAAAUGUACUAUUUCUUCCACUGUGUUCUUGAUGUGAUUGUUUUUUCAAUUAUAUAAUUUUUCAUAUAGGCAUUCACAUGGACUUCGACAAGAAAAGGAACAAAAGAAAUUAAAAAAUCUGAUAUAUUGAUAUUGGAAACAUCGAGCUUAAUUCCAAAUUCUAAGCAUUUUCAGAUUAACACAAGCGAUGAUGUACCUAUAUGAUAACUUUAUGUUAGUUCAGUGCAUCUACAAGUGAUAAUGGUCAAAUGGGUCAAUUUGUUGAUCUCCACAACCAACUCCACAAGACUCUUGGAAAGAAAAGACGAUCUUUUAAGUGUUUGAGAAGGUGAUGGAAGAAAAAUAGUAUCUGGGGUGGCAAGACAAUUGAAGGAGUUACAUAUUUCUGUUUUGUAGCACUACGACACCUAUUAGACCAACUAUGUAAGGAAAUGACAAGGUAUUAAAAAUGUAUCUGGUGCUACUUCAAUUAAGUUAGUUUUACAUUUCUGAUAGUUAUAUUUUUUGUGUAAUAUAUGAAAUAUGAUGGAGAGAUUUUAUAUGUAUUCUCUUUUUAUUUGUAGAUAUCCUGUUAUGUGCAGCAUUUUUUUAGUUUAUUCUAUCUAUUGUCAUGUCAUGGAAGAUGAGGAGUCACCAAUUCCUUGAUAGCUCGCCGUGUCUUUAUGUACUCCGCUGAGUUUCAAGUUCUUAUGAAUUUUACUCCUUUAUAAUUCAAAGACGUUUUGGUACACUUUCUAAUUAGUACUUUUGGAUCCUUGCAUGUUAACAAUUAUACACUUGAGUGAGGUAAGUGAUCAACAAAAACAAUCAACAGAACAACAUGCAGGUCAAGCCAUGGAAAAGUAUUGAUUUUAGAUUCUCUGUGUUUAAGCCUUCAGGUGUAUUGCCCGUUUUAGAUUUGGCUUCUGAGGAGCUUGGUAGAACUUAGGAACCCUAUAUUUAAUCAGCUUUGAAGAUCUACGUAAGUAUGUGCUAUCUCACCUAUCAUUUUUGUCCAUUGAAGUUUUAAUUUCCCCCAGCGUUCUGUAGUUGAAGCAGAAGAAGGGAAAUCGAUAAUGUAACUAUAUCCGUGGUACCUUAGCAUGUUAAUCGUUGUUUUUGUUGUUGAUUUUCACUAUUCUUAUCCAAGGAAUCUGUUGCUAGUCAAUAUUCACUGUUCUCCUUCCCCAACUUGGCAACUGAUUGUAUUCUUGCAAUUGUUGUUUUUCUGCUGUCCUAAUAGCUACAUUAGCAAUGUAAUCUGCUAGUUGGUUUGCUUCUCUGAGUGUAUGCCUAAUUUGGACAUUAAUAUGCUACAUUAUCUCUUGACUAUCUUCAACUCUCUCACCUAUUUCCCAAGAUAUUCUCCAAUUUCUCAUUGGAUAUGACCAAUUCUUUCGAGUAACAUAAAAGCGUGUUUAGAUAAAAGAUGGACAUAAUCUUCCAACAAAUAAUGUGUCUAUUACUCAAC
Long non-coding RNA from Solanum pennellii, 3241 nucleotides. RefSeq lists it as uncharacterized. The transcript is spliced from 11 exons. The record is from RefSeq and is a predicted model, not a curated record. Lineage: Eukaryota; Viridiplantae; Streptophyta; Magnoliopsida; Solanales; Solanaceae.